AGAGUUUGAUCAUGGCUCAGAGCGAACGCUGGCGGCGUACUUAACACAUGCAAGUCGAACGAGGAUCAUCGGGUUAGCAAUAAUUCGGUGGUCCUAGUGGCGUACGGGUGAGUAACACGUGGGUAACCUGCCCUCGAGUCCGGGAUACCCUCUCGAAAGGGAGGCUAAUACUGGAUACGUUCCCUGGGGCGCAAGACCUGUGGAGGAAAGGUAGCGAAAGCUGCCGCUCUUGGAGGGGCUCGCGGCCUAUCAGCUAGUUGGUGAGGUAACGGCUCACCAAGGCUAUGACGGGUAGCUGGUCUGAGAGGACGACCAGCCACACGGGAACUGAGACACGGUCCCGACUCCUACGGGAGGCAGCAGUGGGGAAUUUUCCGCAAUGGGCGAAAGCCUGACGGAGUGACGCCGCGUGGGGGACGAAGGCCUUCGGGUCGUAAACCCCUGUCAGAGGGAAAGAAGGGUGCUGGCGUGAAUAGCGCCGGCAUCUGACGGUACCUUCAGAGGAAGCCCCGGCCAACUCUGUGCCAGCAGCCGCGGUAAGACAGAGGGGGCAAGCGUUGCUCGGAAUCACUGGGCGUAAAGGGCGCGUAGGCGGGAUGGCAAGUCGGUCGUGAAAUCCUUCGGCUCAACCGAAGAACGUCGGCCGAUACUGCCGUUCUUGAGGGAUGCAGAGGAGAUUGGAAUUCCCGGUGUAGCGGUGAAAUGUGUAGAGAUCGGGAGGAACACCGGUGGCGAAGGCGGGUCUCUGGGCAUCUCCUGACGCUGAGGCGCGAAAGCGUGGGGAGCAAACGGGAUUAGAUACCCCGGUAGUCCACGCUGUAAACGAUGACGACUAGGUGUGGGGGGGGUUAGUCCCUUCCGUGCCGCAGCUAACGCAUUAAGUCG
RNAcentral lists this ribosomal RNA (885 nucleotides) under uncultured bacterium. Its description in RNAcentral is "bacterial SSU rRNA". It matches the Rfam family "Bacterial small subunit ribosomal RNA", at positions 8 to 867 of the family's 1533-position model. The record is from RNAcentral.